UACGUAGGGUGCAAGCGUUAAUCGGAAUUACUGGGCGUAAAGCGUGCGCAGGCGGUUUUGUAAGUCUGACGUGAAAUCCCCGGGCUCAACCUGGGAAUGGCAUUGGUGACUGCACGGCUAGAGUGUGUCAGAGGGGGGUAGAAUUCCACGUGUAGCAGUGAAAUGCGUAGAGAUGUGGAGGAACACCGAUGGCGAAGGCAGCCCCCUGGGUCAAGAUUGACGCUCAUGCACGAAAGCGUGGGGAGCAAACAGG
This 253-nucleotide ribosomal RNA is filed under the name uncultured bacterium. RNAcentral's name for it is "partial 16S ribosomal RNA". It matches the Rfam family "Bacterial small subunit ribosomal RNA", at positions 524 to 776 of the family's 1533-position model. The record is from RNAcentral.